AUCAGAAACUUUUGGAAAAACCAAAACACCACACAUACUCUUCUUUCUUUCAGUUUUCUCACACCUAUACGCCAAAUCCUUCUUCUCUCUCAUCGCUCUUUCCCCUUUCUCCUGUGUCAAAUCUUCCUCUUAUCCACCUCCUUCUUCUCCUUUCAAUUUUCAGAAAAUCCGCCUGGCAUCAUGGGCGAAAUUUCCUCCAAACAGCAACUUUAAGUCAAAGACAAAGAAAGGUAAGAUCUGUGAAAUCUUUUCUCAUCUUCUCCUUGUUGGCCUCAUAAAUGCCUUUGAUAUUAAUUCAAAUAAAAAAAAUUUAACUUCAGAUUUUGUCUAUAACUAACAAGGUUUUCGCUCUCCAAAGAGACACACACAGAAAGAGAGAUCCGAGAGAAAAAAAAUUGACCUAAAAAAAAUCCAUUUUUGAAACUGAUUCAAAAAAAAACAGUAGCAAUACUCUCUACUGCAAGGUUUGGAUUCCAAAGAUCACUCUGUCUUUUAUUUUUUUUUGGCUUUGAAUUAAAGUUUGGAAAGGAGUUCGGAAUUGAGAAUCCUUGACAAGAAUUACUUUAGUUUGCUGCUCUGGAAAAGAGGGCUGGAGUUUCCACUUUUAAACUCAUUUUUGGCCCAAUGUUUUGGGCCAACAGUUAUUAGGAUCGUCAGAGCUCGGAGUCUCGUAAAUUAAGAGUCCAACGUUCCUUAACCUUUGUUCUUAUUAUAUUAUUCCGUUAUACUAACUCAUUUUUACAUAUGUAUGCAGUUCUCUUAAGUUUUGAUAAAUUUAAUCUCUUGUCCUUUUUUA
Long non-coding RNA from Solanum dulcamara, 796 nucleotides. RefSeq lists it as uncharacterized. The transcript is spliced from 2 exons. Lineage: Eukaryota; Viridiplantae; Streptophyta; Magnoliopsida; Solanales; Solanaceae. The record is from RefSeq and is a predicted model, not a curated record.